This 460-nucleotide ribosomal RNA is filed under the name uncultured bacterium. Its description in RNAcentral is "partial 16S ribosomal RNA". It matches the Rfam family "Bacterial small subunit ribosomal RNA", at positions 338 to 795 of the family's 1533-position model. The record is from RNAcentral.
CCUACGGGAGGCAGCAGUGAGGAAUAUUGGUCAAUGGACGCAAGUCUGAACCAGCCAUGCCGCGUGCAGGAAGACGGCUCUAUGAGUUGUAAACUGCUUUUGUACGGGGGUAAACGCAGAUACGCGUAUCUGUCUGAAAGUAUCGUACGAAUAAGGAUCGGCUAACUCCGUGCCAGCAGCCGCGGUAAUACGGAGGAUUCAAGCGUUAUCCGGAUUUAUUGGGUUUAAAGGGUGCGUAGGCGGUCGGAUAAGUUAGAGGUGAAAUCCCGAGGCUCAACUUCGGACUUGCCUCUGAUACUGUUCGUCUAGAGAGUAGUUGCGGUAGGCGGAAUGUAUGGUGUAGCGGUGAAAUGCUUAGAGAUCAUACAGAACACCGAUUGCGAAGGCAGCUUACCAAGCUACUUCUGACGUUGAGGCACGAAAGCGUGGGGAGCAAACAGGAUUAGAUACCCGGGUAGUC